CAACGUUUUGGUCAUAUUUACUAUUAAUUGCCCAGCACCCCCUCAGCACCUGCGUUCAAAAUUCUCUGGCGCCGCCCCUGACUGUAAGUAGGCUAUCACUUGCAUUCAUGUAGAACAUUAUAUUCUACUGUUGACCAUUCUGAGCAGACUGAAGGAAGGAUGGGUGAAGGGAUUUAAGAAGAAACAAAUGGACAGAAGGGAAAGUUCCCUGCACCUCCACUCUGUGGGGUGAUCAAAGUAUCUGAGGUUCUUUCGUCCUUACAAGUGCCUACUUUUCAGCAUCUGAAGAUUUUCAUUACAUUCAAAGGCUGGAGGGUGAAUCGGUGGACAUAGAUUGUGUGACAGAAGAACCCCGGCCAUCGCUUCUGCACCUGAGACGAAGGUUUGCUCAUUCAGAAAGUGUGCUGAGCAUUUCUGAAGAUGAAGAAGUCCUGAGAGCAGAUCCAGAGACGGAGGGACGAAUCCACAUCUCCGGACAGCUGAAUUUACGCACAGUUACUCUGACUCUCUCUCAUUUACGAGCCACAGACACGGGGCUGUAUGUCUGCGAUUUCUCAGGAGAUCCAUCAGAUCCGCUCUCGGCGAAUACAACUCUCUUUCUGCUGGUAAAAGCGGCAGGCGAGUCGUGCUCCUGUAGGAGGUAUUCUCUGCUCAUCUAUACCAUCACAGUAGGAGUGAGUCUGCUCCUACUCUCGGCCAUCGCUCUCUUUGUGACACAUUAUAAAAAGCCAUAUGCUCAGCCAGAGCGUCAAACCACAGCUCCAAUUUAUGAAGACAUGUCAAAUAUGAAAGGAAAAGGAAGCAGUGCAAACAGUCAUCGGAUUCAUCCAACAGCCCCAGAAACAUCUGCUACGCUGGAGAACCUCUACCGAUCCCCCAAACGGACAAAUGUGGAACAGCAUCAGGAAAAAGAAUCAUCAUAAAAAUCAGCUCAGUUGUGAAAUACAUUAUUGAAAUAUACCCCUUUCCAGGGACAUGCUAAAAUCUAUAAUGUAUACUAAUAUAUAUAUAUAUAUAUACGGUAACACAUUACAAUAAGGUACAUUAGUUAACAUGAACUAAGAAUUAACAAUACUUCCACAGCAUUUAUUAAUCUUAAUGUUAAUUUCAGCAUUAACUAAUGCAUUAUUAAAAUCUCAAGUUGUGUUUGUUAACAUUAGUUAUACUACGGGGCCGUUGAAUGCUUGAAUCUGAUUGGCUGUCGAACGUUGUAAGGUGUGCAAUUAUUUCAAGGAAACGCACGGCGAACGUAGUUCCAGGCAGCUCUUGACCGCGUUACAUGACCAUAUCACUUCGCCAAAUGAUUUCUGUUAUUUCAAAGGUCUUACAACAGAAAAAUAACCAAACCCCACAACACACUGGCCAAACAAAUAAAUAUAGUAAACAAAAGGAUAAAAACGACAGAUCAUGUCCAUGUUUUUGCCACAAAAUUAGGCUUUAUGUAUGGAAAGAACAUACUCCAUAUCUCCCGCUCUCUCUCCCUCACAGCCGCACAUACAUAAGUUACAGUUUACACACACAUACUAACAUACAUAAUGUUGUUAGCGCUACUCUGACGAUUUUAUCAGUAAACAACUUAGAAACUACAUGAUUUCUCACAAGAGAGGUAACAACAUCGGCGCUGUUCGUGAACAAAAGGAACUAAGUUUCACUAUAACUAGACAUUGCUGCCGAACACUAUUGAGAGACGCACAGAGGUAAUCUCUCUCUCUCUCAUAACUUGGUUAUUAACUGUAUUAACUGCAUUAAUCUGUUAUCAACGGCUCAAGCCUCCGUUACUAGGUUUAAACUGACGUUUUGGAAUUAGCAACAGAGGCCUGGAUGAGAUGCGGAAGAAAUAAUCCUAUUCACAAUAGCGAUUUAAGUAGAAAUACCGGACGAAUGCCUUGAAAUAUAUCAUCUGAUCGAUGUCUUGAGGUGUGGCAACCGUAGUAUAAGCGGAAUAAUUGACUUCGGUCCGUUGAACUAUUUGAAAAAUAAUGCACACCCGAGGUGUAACGGCCCGUCGUCAAUUAUUCCUUACUUAAUGCACUGUGAACUAACAAUGAACGACUGUACUUUCAUUAACUAACGUUAACAAAUGACACCUUAUUGGAAAGUGUUACCAUAGAGAGUAUACAUUAUAGAUUUUAGCAUGUUCCUGGAAAUGGAUUUCACCAUUUUAAAUUAGCAUUUGGUCUGUCUGUCUUCUUCCUUUUUUUGGAUAAAUGACAAAUACAGUAAAUUUUAAAAAUAAAAUAUUCUGUCGCCUCAGUUAAUACAUGUAUAAUAACAAACAACUGCUAUAAUUGUAACUAGCAAUAAAUAGUUGUAGUUCUUCCUUAAAACGGCAUUUUCCAAUUCUUCUUUAACCCAUAGUAAUUUUAGAUAAAGCAGGGUGAAUACAGGCUGGUUACUUUCUGAUAAUUUGUCAUGGGCCUUUUUUUUUUUCGUGAGAUCCAAAUUGCUGUGUGUCAUUUUGCACUACUAAUAACAUUUUUCAUUCUAUCAGAAAAAAACACAACACAAUGACAGGUUAUUAAGACUCCCACUUUACCUGGAUUCAUCCUCAUCCUUCAGCUCAUAACUGCAGGUUACUGAUGUCUACUUCUAAGAAAUGACCAAACAAAAUUCAUUACAGCCAAGAACAAAAAUGCAAUUUAUUAAUUGAAUUUGAAAGAAGCUCCAUAGUUCAAAACUUUUUUUUUUUUCGGUGCAUGUCAACAAUCACAUUCUAUGAGGAGAGAAAAAGAGAGAGAAAGAGAGAGAAAACAAAAACAUUAAAAGCCACUGACUUCUUAAAAUCUCAGUACAGACAUAUUCCUUAACAUUUAAAAUCAAAAGGCAAAAGCAACUCAGUAUCUCCAUCCACACUCAUCCCAGAAACACACUCGGUCGCUCGCACACACACACACGCACACACACACACACGCACGCACACACACACGCACGCUCACACGCAGAACACAGACAACCUUGAAAGUCAUGGGCUACAAAAAAACCCCCACAGUGCUUCAGAAUGAGACGUUCAUUGGUUUAGGAAUACACAGCAUGGCGAUGUACUGUAUGUAAGAAACAUGAUAAUGGGAAAUAAGAUGGGGUCGGUGGGGGAGGGAGACAACAGAGCAAAUGAGCACAAUAAAAAGACACAGAAAGAAUCCCUCUAAUCCCAAUGAGAGAUGGGUCACAGAGGCUUUAAGAAGCCCACCCCCUUGUGCAUAGAUCAUGAUCCGUAUAAACCAGCUUUUUUUCCUCUCGAAAUAGAUCAAUUUGAUACAGAAGCCCUGCCCCCCCAACCCCUCUUUUUAAUUUCUCAUUAUGUAAUACCCGCCACAAGAGACAGAAUGACAAAGAGGAAAGAAAUAGUAAUGCACAAUGGUCCUGAUUUCAACAGGAAGGGACCUCAUGUUAAGAAAAUACAAUAAAGAUUCAAACAUACAGCAUUUGUAUGUUCUUUCACCGUCUUUUGAACAAUCAAAAUCAUUGAUCAUUUUGUUUAAAAUGUAAAGCAAUUUCAAUAUAUAGAUUUAUAUAUAAAGCACUCCAUUUUUUAAAGUUCAUUAAGAGUUCAUUAUUUGGUAAAUAUGUAACUGCUACGGAUUUAGAAACAAAGGUAUUUUCUUCUUCUGAAAUCCAUAACCUUCAGUGCUUAUGUUUUUUUUUCUUUUUUUUUUUCUGUUAUCCUCUUUCUCUAAAAACGAACAUUAAAUGGCGUGGAGUUGGUACUCUGGAACCCUUGCCUUCCUGAGACAUGAUCCACUUUUUGUGUGUGCAAGAUAGUGAACAUUUAUGUCUUCUUCUUUUCUCUUUUUUUUUUUCAACAAA
This is an RNA transcript of Onychostoma macrolepis, 3804 nucleotides long. RefSeq lists it as uncharacterized. NCBI's taxonomy places the organism in Eukaryota, Metazoa, Chordata, Actinopteri, Cypriniformes, Cyprinidae. The record is from RefSeq and is a predicted model, not a curated record. The transcript is spliced from 4 exons.